Molecule: long non-coding RNA, 377 nt
Organism: Corylus avellana
Lineage: Eukaryota; Viridiplantae; Streptophyta; Magnoliopsida; Fagales; Betulaceae
Source: RefSeq, a predicted model, not a curated record
UAUUUGGUCAUUCACUCUGAGCGUGCAGAAGAUGGUGAGAAAGGAAAAAUUGGUUAUUGCUCUUGCAUGGCUCCUGGUUAUAAUGGCAUCCAUGAUCAUGUUAGCGCAGGCGAUGCAAGGUGCUCGUCUGCAUGCAUUUGAGCAUAUAGUUCAUCCCCAAGGUUGUCGCUGCUGCUGGUUCAUUUGGAAGCCACUAAUCCACUGUGGAAAAGCAUGUUGUGAAGAUGGAUGUUGCCCUUGAUGCAUCAUAGAAGAGUUAUGGUGUUGAUGCUCAUCAAAUAAAAUUAAUAAACUUACGUUGGAACAGCAAUGUUCAGCAUAAAGUUGUAACGUUUCUUUUUUGAAUAAGGAGGUUCUCUGUGAACAGUUAAAGAUUC